Molecule: ribosomal RNA, 139 nt
Filed under: uncultured eukaryote
Lineage: Eukaryota
Description: partial 18S ribosomal RNA
Rfam family: Eukaryotic small subunit ribosomal RNA
Source: RNAcentral
UGGUGGGUUGCCUUGUCAGGUUGAUUCCGGUAACGAACGAGACCUCAGCCUGCUAAAUAGUCCGAUCUUCCACGUGGAGAUCGACGACUUCUUAGAGGGACUAUUGGCGAUUAGCCAAUGGAAGUGUGAGGCGAUAACA